This 462-nucleotide ribosomal RNA is filed under the name Streptococcus cristatus. RNAcentral's name for it is "bacterial SSU rRNA". It matches the Rfam family "Bacterial small subunit ribosomal RNA", at positions 28 to 474 of the family's 1533-position model. The record is from RNAcentral. Lineage: Bacteria; Bacillati; Bacillota; Bacilli; Lactobacillales; Streptococcaceae.
GACGAACGCUGGCGGCGUGCCUAAUACAUGCAAGUAGAACGCUGAAGGAGGAGCUUACUCUUCUGGAUGAGUUGCGAACGGGUGAGUAACGCGUAGGUAACCUGCCUGGUAGCGGGGGAUAACUAUUGGAAACGAUAGCUAAUACCGCAUAACAUUGACUAUUGCAUGAUAGUCAAUUGAAAGGUGCAAAUGCACCACUACCAGAUGGACCUGCGUUGUAUUAGCUAGUUGGUGGGGUAACGGCUCACCAAGGCGACGAUACAUAGCCGACCUGAGAGGGUGAUCGGCCACACUGGGACUGAGACACGGCCCAGACUCCUACGGGAGGCAGCAGUAGGGAAUCUUCGGCAAUGGACGGAAGUCUGACCGAGCAACGCCGCGUGAGUGAAGAAGGUUUUCGGAUCGUAAAGCUCUGUUGUAAGAGAAGAACGAGUGUGAGAGUGGAAAGUUCACACUGUGACG